RNAcentral lists this transfer RNA (62 nucleotides) under Ahamus yunnanensis. RNAcentral's name for it is "tRNA-Asp". The record is from RNAcentral. Lineage: Eukaryota; Metazoa; Arthropoda; Insecta; Lepidoptera; Hepialidae.
AAUUAGUUAAAAUAUAACAUAAAUAUGUCAAAUUUAAAUUAUUAAUACAUUAAUAUUCUUUU